Molecule: small nucleolar RNA, 118 nt
Filed under: Echinops telfairi (small Madagascar hedgehog)
Lineage: Eukaryota; Metazoa; Chordata; Mammalia; Afrosoricida; Tenrecidae
Description: Small nucleolar RNA SNORA61 (ENSETEG00000026378.1)
Source: RNAcentral
ACCUUCUCAUUUCCUUCCCCAUCAGAUCUACACAUUGGUCUGAGUGUCUUUAAAAAGAGGAAAAGUAAACCGAUGCAGACUUACUCUUUUGGGACAUCCAAGUUCGUUUCAAAACAAA